Molecule: ribosomal RNA, 301 nt
Filed under: uncultured bacterium
Lineage: Bacteria
Description: partial 16S ribosomal RNA
Rfam family: Bacterial small subunit ribosomal RNA
Source: RNAcentral
CAGUAGCCGCGGUAAUAUGUAGGGUGCAAGCGUUAAUCGGAAUUACUGGGCGUAAAGCGUGCGCAGGCGGUUAUAUAAGUCAGAUGUGAAAUCCCCGGGCUCAACCUGGGAACUGCAUUUGAGACUGUAUGGCUAGAGUACGGUAGAGGGGGAUGGAAUUCCGCGUGCAGCAGUGAAAUGCGUAGAUAUGCGGAGGAACACCGAUGGCGAAGGCAAUCCCCUGGACCUGUACUGACGCUCAUGCACGAAAGCGUGGGGAGCAAACAGGAUUAGAUACCCCAGUAGUCCCUGUCUCUUAUAC